AGCGAACGCUGGCGGCAUGCCUAACACAUGCAAGUCGCACGGGGGGGCUUCGGCCUCCCAGUGGCGGACGGGGGAGGAACGCGUAGGGACCUGUCGAGGGGUGGGGGAUAACCGCGGGAAACUGCGGCUAAUACCGCAUGACGCCGCGGCGUGACAGCCGGGGCCAAAGGCGAAAGCCGCCCGCCGAGGGGGCUGCGUCCGAUUAGCUGGUUGGCGGGGUAGCGGCCCACCAAGGCGUCGACCGGUAGCUGGUCUGAGAGGGUGAUCAGCCACACCGGGACUGAGACACGGCCCGGACUCCUACGGGAGGCAGCAGUGGGGAGUAUUGGACGCUGGGCGCAAGCCUGAUCCAGCAAUGCCGCGUGGGUGAAGAAGGUCUUCGGAUUGUAAAGCCCUUUCGGCGGGGACGAUGGUGACGGUACCCGCAGAAGAAGCCCCGGCUAACUUCGUG
RNAcentral lists this ribosomal RNA (451 nucleotides) under uncultured bacterium. Its description in RNAcentral is "partial 16S ribosomal RNA". It matches the Rfam family "Bacterial small subunit ribosomal RNA", at positions 28 to 507 of the family's 1533-position model. The record is from RNAcentral.